CCUCGUAAACAGAGAGGAGAAAACCUUCUUGAAUUGUUUGCCGGAAGUAAAUCCGCAUAUAGUUCUGAAACAUGGAGGAGAGACUCGAAUUUGCUCGAAAUAAACUUGGAAUUGAAUUUUCACUAAAGGAAAAACAAUUGGAAACUCUAAGAAAUUUAUGGGAGAGACGGGAUGUUAUAAGUGUGUUACCAACUGGUUACGGUAAAAGUGUCCUGUAUCAAUUACUUCCGUGGUUUUUACAAGGCGAUAGAGAAAAAGCUGGAAUCGUGAUUGUCAUUGCCCCCUUGACCUCGAUUAUUGUUGACCAGGUGUCAUUUUCAAUCUUCUAAGGGAAUAAAGGCCCUAUGCUUGAACUUUGAAGGAACUGGGUGUCGUUCCGCGGAUGAGGAAGAAACUGUCUCGAAGCUGGUCACAAAAGAUAUGCAGCGUAUCAUAGAUGGUGAUGUUGAGAUCCUUUACAGUCAUCCAGAAGCAAUUUUUUCUAAAAAGAUUGGUAGGAUUCUGAGGUCAAAAGUCUUUCAGGAGUAUGUUUGUUGUGUAACCAUUGAUGAGGUUCACAUGAUAGAGGAAUGGGGUGAAGAAUUCAGACCAAAGUUUAAAAAACUUGGAGACUUAACCUGUUUGUUUCCAUCUGCGGCACAUUUAUCACUAACAGCAACAGCGACUGAAACCUCAAUAGAAAGUCUUGGAAAAGUGCCAGUAUAUAAAUCCAGUUAUUAUCAAAGCCAAUCCUGACAGGCCAAAUAUUUUCCUAGAAAAGAUUGUGCGACCUCCUAAUAUUAACAAAGUUAAAAAGUUAGACACAAUUAUUGAACCUCUGUGUGAGGAGCUGAAAGAGAAGAGGGAAAAUUUCCCUGUGACUAUUGUUUAUGUCGAAAAUUUAGAGUCGUUGGGUUACUUUUAUCAGUAUGUGAACUCUGAAUUAAGGGAGCAUCAGUAUGUAGGUGAACCGAAUCCAGAAAACCGAAUCUUUGCACAAUUCCACAAAGAUUACACAGAGGCAAUGAAAAGCCAUGUGAUAACAGAGUUAAAAAAAGAAAACCCUACUCUUCGUUUAG
Long non-coding RNA from Saccostrea echinata, 1058 nucleotides. RefSeq lists it as uncharacterized. The transcript is spliced from 3 exons. The record is from RefSeq and is a predicted model, not a curated record. Lineage: Eukaryota; Metazoa; Mollusca; Bivalvia; Ostreida; Ostreidae.